Molecule: long non-coding RNA, 1300 nt
Filed under: Vulpes vulpes (red fox)
Lineage: Eukaryota; Metazoa; Chordata; Mammalia; Carnivora; Canidae
Description: lncRNA (ENSVVUG00000020040.1)
Source: RNAcentral
CCGCCCCGUCGCCGACCCCGUCACUGACCCCGUCGCUGGCCCCGUCGCCCGCCAGCCCACCUGCUCCUUACUUCCCCGUGUCCUGUUUUCCCGACAAGGGGAAUCACCGAAGGCCGAGGACCCUGGGCGCCAGCCCGGAACCCGGCGCUCCCUGGGUGCUAUGGUAACUGACGCAUUGUGAGGCCACGGCUUCGAGAAAGCCCUUUCUGCCUCAAUUUAUACAACUGGACACUUGCUUGGAAGAGAUGUCGAGAGGAAAGGUUGUUUUUGGUCAAAGGCAUGAAAACUAGUUUUUAGGAAGGUUUUUGUUGGAUUCCGCUGUCUUCUUGCCUCUUCCCCAUUUGAACCCUGGCGUCUGUUCCCCCUUCUUCGUCCUCCAUAUAAUACAGAUAAACGGGGCCGCGAGUGCUGACCACAACCGGAAAAACCGCCACACAAACUAGAAGUAGCUCGUGAUGGGCGCCACGGGCAGGAUGCUCGUGGGUGGGUGGAGGGGGCGCCGCUGGAGCGACCUUCCCUCGGGUGUCAAGGAAGCUGUGGGCAUCUUGUGGGAAGGAAAGAGAAGGAUUCUGUGGCGUACUUGUUGACCUUGGAUCCGGGGCACACACUUUCAAAGCAUAGAGUGGUAGAGACUGUGGAAGUGUCCGAAAAGUGGCAGCCGGGGCCUUUCCUCAUUCCUUCUAAGGAAAAGAUGAAGCUGUGUUAAACAAUAGGGAAUAAUAAUAAUAAUAAUAAUAAUAAUAAUAAUACCUGUCAUCUGUGUGCAGUGGUUCAUCAUUUUCAAAACCGCUUCACAUUUUUUAUUUUGCCUUGAUAGCCAGUCGAAUACUAAACAAUCACGAUGGGUGAUCAAUAUGAUGAAGGCGCGACGCUCAAAGCAGGACUGGAGAGAAUGUGGAUGAUCUAAGGCAUUUGUUGUACAAGUGUAAUUUUUCAGUUAGGACACGUGCACAUUUCCGAAUUGCAGGGAAGGGAAACCAAAGCCGCCCGCCUGUGUCUCAUGAGUCCAGGAAGGCUGCUCAGUGGGCAGCUGCAUUUCAUUACCUUUGGCUUUGGGGCAGGUUCAGAGGUGAGGGAGCUCUCUUUUUCAUGUCCCUGUUAUUAACUGUCUGAUACGUAUUAAAAUUUGGGUUAAAGGAUAUUUUAAAUUAUGGAAUAAGUAACUCGGGCUGUAUCUCAGAUCCUUGACAAGUGACAAGCCUGGGUUUCCAGAACAAUACUCCGUGUAGGGUCCAGAUGCAAAUACCACUGAUAACAGCUACCAGGUGACUGAAUAAAGAAAGUGUAGUCUGUGUAUACA